UAUACGACCGUACCGCAAACCGACACUGGUGCGCGAGAUGAGUAUUCUAAGGCGCUUGAGAGAACUCAGGAGAAGGAACUCGGCAAAUUGACACCGUAACUUCGGAAGAAGGUGUGCCCUAUUAGUGUGUAGUGAACAACGAAGCAUGAAUGGGUUGCAAAAAAUCGGUGGCUGCGACUGUUUAUUAAAAACACAGCACUCUGCAAACACGAAAGUGGACGUAUAGGGUGUGACGCCUGCCCGGUGCUGGAAGAUUAAAUGAUGGGGUGCAAGCUCUUGAUUGAAGUCCCAGUAAACGGCGGCCGUAACGAUAACGGUCCUAAGGUAGCGAAAUUCCUUGUCGGGUAAGUUCCGACCUGCACGAAUGGCGUAACGAUGGCCACACUGUCUCCUCCUGAGACUCAGCGAAGUUGAAAUGUUUGUGAUGAUGCAAUCUCCCCGCGGAAAGACGGAAAGACCCCAUGAACCUUUACUGUAGCUUUGUAUUGGACUUUGAACAGAUCUGUGUAGGAUAGGUGGGAGGCUUUGAAGCAGGGUCGCUAGAUCUUGUGGAGCCAACGUUGAAAUACCACCCUGGUGUGUUUGAGGUUCUAACCUAGGUCCAUUAUCUGGAUCGGGGACAGUGCAUGGUAGGCAGUUUGACUGGGGCGGUCUCCUCCCAAAGCGUAACGGAGGAGUUCGAAGGUACGCUAGUUACGGUCGGACAUCGUGACGAUAGUGCAAUGGCAUAAGCGUGCUUAACUGCGAGACUGACAAGUCGAGCAGAUGCGAAAGCAGGACAUAGUGAUCCGGUGGUUCUGUAUGGAAGGGCCAUCGCUCAACGGAUAAAAGGUACUCUGGGGAUAACAGGCUGAUACCGCCCAAGAGUUCAUAUCGACGGCGGUGUUUGGCACCUCGAUGUCGGCUCAUCUCAUCCUGGGGCUGUAGCCGGUCCCAAGGGUAUGGCUGUUCGCCAUUUAAAGAGGUACGUGAGCUGGGUUUAAAACGUCGUGAGACAGUUUGGUCCCUAUCUUCCGUGGGCGCUGCAGAUUUGAGGAAGCCUGCUCCUAGUACGAGAGGACCGGAGUGGACACACCUCUGGUGUAUCGGUUGUCACGCCAGUGGCAUUGCCGAGUAGCUAAGUGUGGAAGAGAUAACCGCUGAAAGCAUCUAAGCGGGAAACUCGUUUCAAGAUGAGAUCUGCCGGGGCCUUGAGCCCCCUAAAGAGUCGUUCAAGACCAGGACGUUGAUAGGUCAGGUGUGGAAGCGAAAAAAAAAAAUU
This 1261-nucleotide ribosomal RNA is filed under the name metagenome. RNAcentral describes it as "bacterial LSU rRNA". It matches the Rfam family "Bacterial large subunit ribosomal RNA", at positions 1635 to 2887 of the family's 2925-position model. The record is from RNAcentral.